CGCAAAGUCUCGCCCCAUUCCGAGUCCGGCGGACGAACUUCGCCCGCACCCCCCACCAAGGCUAUAGCCCACCCGUUUUUUGGCCAUUUUUCCGCUGGGGGGUUUUGGCACCACGACCAUCGGGUGCUUAUUUUUGGGCGCGGCUGUGCCCGCGACUUCCAGCGGGCACCCCGAGGGCCCUCGCAAAGUCUCGCCCCAUUCCGAGUCCGGCGGACGAACUUCGCCCGCGCCCCCCACCAAGGCUAUAGCCCACCCGUUUUUUGGCCAUUUUUCCGCUGGGGAGUUUUGGCACCACGACCCUCGGGCGUUUAUUUUGGGGCGUGACUUUGCCCGCGGCUAAUUUUUGGUACCCCGAGGCCCCUCGCAAAGUCUCGCCCCAUUCCGAGUCCGGCGGACGAACUUCGCCCGCGCCCCCCUCCAAGGCUAUAGCCCUCCCGUUUUUUGGCCAUUUUUCCGCUGGGGGGUUUUGGCACCACGACCUUCGGGCACUUAUUUUUGGGCGCGGCUGUGCCUGCGACUUCCCGCGGGCACACCGAGGUCCCUCGGAAAGUCUCGCCCCAUUCCGAGUCCGGCGGACGAACUUCGCCCGCGCCCCCCACCAAGGCUAUAGCCCACCCAUUUUUUGGCCAUUUUUCCGCUGGGGGGUUUUGGCACCACGACCUUCGGGUGCUUAUUUUUGGACGUGGCUGUGCGCGCGACUUCCCGCAGGCACCCCGAGGCCCCUCUCAAAGUCUCGCCCCAUUCCGAGUCCGGCGGACGAACUUCGCCCGCGCCCCCCACCAAGGCUAUAGCCCACCCAUUUUUUGGCCAUUUUUCCGCUGGGGGGUUUUGGCACCACGACCUUCGGUCGUUUAUUUUUGGGCGCGACUUUGCCCGCGGCUUAUUUUUGGCAUCCCGAGGCCCCUCGCAAAGUCUCGCCCCAUUCCGAGUCCGGCGGACGAACUUCGCCCGCGCCCCCCACCAAGGCUAUAGCCCACCCGUUUUUUGGCCAUUUUUCCGCUGGUGGGUUUUGGCACCACGACCUUCGGGUGCUUAUUUUUGGGCGCGGCUGUGCCCGCGACUUCCAACGGGCACCCCGAGGGCCCUCGCAAAGUCUCGCCCCAUUCCGAGUCCGGCGGACGAACUUCGCCCGCGCCCCCCACCAAGGCUAUAGCCCACC
RNAcentral lists this long non-coding RNA (1159 nucleotides) under Citrus x clementina. RNAcentral's name for it is "Citrus clementina (C. clementina) long non-coding RNA (CCLE_LNC000645)". Lineage: Eukaryota; Viridiplantae; Streptophyta; Magnoliopsida; Sapindales; Rutaceae. The record is from RNAcentral.